Molecule: transfer RNA, 65 nt
Filed under: Pharyngocirrus uchidai
Lineage: Eukaryota; Metazoa; Annelida; Polychaeta; Saccocirridae
Description: tRNA-Arg
Source: RNAcentral
GAUCAAGAAGCUAUUUAGCAAGCCGGUUUCGGCCCGUCUAUAGGCGGCAUCUCCGCCCUUGAUUU